RNAcentral lists this transfer RNA (72 nucleotides) under Marmota monax (woodchuck). RNAcentral's name for it is "tRNA.Ala". Lineage: Eukaryota; Metazoa; Chordata; Mammalia; Rodentia; Sciuridae. The record is from RNAcentral.
GCGUUGUGGCUCAGUGGUAGUGCGCUCGCCUAGCAAGCGCGAUGCCCUGGGUUCAAUCCUCAGCAUCACACA